RNAcentral lists this unclassified non-coding RNA (230 nucleotides) under fungal sp. Its description in RNAcentral is "partial internal transcribed spacer region". The stretch from base 1 to 54 matches the Rfam family "Eukaryotic small subunit ribosomal RNA", at positions 1778 to 1831 of the family's 1831-position model. The record is from RNAcentral. Lineage: Eukaryota; Fungi.
GGAAGUACAAGUCGUAACAAGGUUUCCGUAGGUGAACCUGCGGAAGGAUCAUUAACAAAUCCCCCCCCCCAGUCCAUCUUCUUUGUUGAGGGUGGGCUAUCUGUUCCGGUACGGAGCGCUGUGGCGCGACGUACCGUGUUCAUCGUGCUCUGCACAAGUAUGUAAGUCGGACUGAAACAACAUGGUGGGAACUCAACAAACAACUUUUAACAAUGGAUCUCUAGGCUCUU